GAUGCGAUACGUUACAGGUAGGAUCGGCGGUGGGGAACUUGGGUUGGGGCAGAGAGAGAGAGUGUGUGAGGAAGUAGGCUCGGGGAGGAGCGAGUAUAUACAAAACGAACACAGUGAAUCAUUCACCGCUUUUAGAUACUAGAAAUGGUUUACUGUGUCUAAACACGGUGAAUCGUGUACCGUUCUAGACGCGGUUAAUGAUUCAUCGUAUUUUAUUAUUUUUUUACCUUAAAAGAAUACCGUGAAACAUCUACCGUGUUAAAAUAUGAUAAAUGGUUUACCAUAUUCAAUUUAAUUUAGAACACCGGCAAUGCUCACAUGGUGCUCGCGUGGUGGGGAUAGAGUCAAUCUUACAAAUAUAAAUUUUGUUAGGCUAUUUGUGAAAAUUUUUUGAGAGAACUAAAUGCAAAAAUAUCUAUUAAAAAAUAUACAUUUUGAGUUUUUAGCUAAGAUUAGUUUUUAAUUUGUUUAAC
This 473-nucleotide long non-coding RNA is filed under the name Ananas comosus (pineapple). RNAcentral's name for it is "long non-coding RNA (ACOM_LNC005785)". The record is from RNAcentral. Lineage: Eukaryota; Viridiplantae; Streptophyta; Magnoliopsida; Poales; Bromeliaceae.